UAUUGCACAAUGGGGGAAACCCUGAUGCAGCGACGCCGCGUGAGUGAAGAAGUAUUUCGGUAUGUAAAGCUCUCUCGGCAGGGAAGAUAAUGACGGUACCUGACUAAGAAGCCCCGGCUAACUACGUGCCAGCAGCCGCGGUAAUACGUAGGGGGCAAGCGUUAUCCGGAUUUACUGGGUGUAAAGGGUGCGUAGGUGGCAGGGCAAGUCAGAUGUGAAAGCCCGGGGCUCAACCCCGGUACUGCAUUUGAAACUGUCCAGCUGGAGUGCAGGAGAGGUAAGCGGAAUUCCUAGUGUAGCGGUGAAAUGCGUAGAUAUACGGAGGAACACCAGUGGCGAAGGCGGCCUGCUGGACAUUAACUGACGCUGAGGCGCGAAAGCGUGGGGAGCA
RNAcentral lists this ribosomal RNA (391 nucleotides) under uncultured bacterium. RNAcentral's name for it is "bacterial SSU rRNA". It matches the Rfam family "Bacterial small subunit ribosomal RNA", at positions 362 to 770 of the family's 1533-position model. The record is from RNAcentral.